AUCUCCAUCACCCCUCACCCCCUUUUUUUCAGUUCUGACACAGUAUUCACCAGCUCAGGCCAGUUCUUUUAUUGCCUUCACUUCCUUUCUCUUCACAUUUUCAUCUCUGCCCCAAAUUGUCACUAAUCUACAGAAGAGCACAGUCAGUCUUAAAAGUGCUGCAUGCCAAAGAAUUUAUGCCAAGAAUCAAGUCACUGCCAGCCAGAGAGAAAUACUAUCACACCUGCCACACAGUGGCUUGGAGGACUUCCUGUAUUUUUUACGAAACUCAGUUGCAAGAUGGUGCUACAUUGGAAAAUGGGACACCGAGAUCUAUUCCAGUAGAGCCUGCUCCACAGCUUCAUGUUGGCUUCUACAUAAGGCAGAUGCUUUCUUCAUCUCUCUUAACUGUGUGCAUAUAGUUAUGACUUCUAUGAUGGUAGAGGAAAAGUGGACAUUCUGAAUUUACCUGUAAGACAUAAUUGCAAUGGAAGACUGUGGAAAGAUAUGGUAAUGUUCAAAAGAAGACAAAAUCAACUCAUUUUAAUAUGUCAAGACAAAUCUUAAGUAAAUUUUUUUUUGUGAAAUUGGCAUUUAAAGAUUAUUUUUAUUCCACCUAUAAUCCAAUGUACCAAUAUCUCUAAAAUCCAGUGGGGCUUAUGGAUAUUUAAAGAGUACUAGUAAUUCUGGUGUGAUGGCUUGGUGAGGUUUUUUCAGAGUUGCACAUUAAUUUUGUGGUGUCCACCUCACACUCAACUCUCACCCAGGCCUCUAAUAAGUUGUAGUAUGAACUUUAAUCUUAUUCCAACAAACCAUCUUAUCAGAUGAUCUAAACCAAGUUGAGGGUAAUCAAUAAUCCACAAAUCCACUGGUGAGUUACAGGAGUAUCUACCUCAAAUAUGUGAAGAUUUCUCCCAGCAAAGCGAUCAGAUUAGAGCAAUUUUUUCCAAUGGCAUUGAAGAUGGUUGAAGCACUUAGAGCUUGGUCAGAUAUUAAAGAUGCCAACAUUAUCCAUUGUAUCAUGAGCCAUCAUCACUAGGUAUCCAGUCUUUUGCCUUAACAUUGGACUUCAAUGAUUCUGUAAGGGAAAGUAAGCUGAUAAUUUUGUACAGCUCUGCCUCACUUAAAUCCAAUUUAUAAUUAAGUCAAGACAUUGUCCUGUGAUAUAAUUAGUCUUCUUUGAAAAUAAUGAACAAAGUCCAAUAUGCAGAAAUAGUAUGGUAAUGUGGAAAGUGUUGGACUUGGAGUAAGGAAGACUUUGGUUAGAAUCGCACAUCAGAGAUUUAGGGAUUCCUGAUUCCUUAGAAAAAGGGCUCAGAAUGUAGCAAUUAAGGAGCCCAUUCCUAGUGAAAGAAAAAAAAUGGUGUAUCUUAAUGGCAAGGUUGGUCGGAGUGAAAUUCCUUUAUCUUAGCUUAGUGCAAGGA
RNAcentral lists this long non-coding RNA (1403 nucleotides) under Monodelphis domestica (gray short-tailed opossum). RNAcentral's name for it is "lncRNA (ENSMODG00000051027.1)". Lineage: Eukaryota; Metazoa; Chordata; Mammalia; Didelphimorphia; Didelphidae. The record is from RNAcentral.